AACGUAGGACGCAAGCGUUAUCCGGAGUUACUGGGCGUAAAGCGCGGGCAGGCGGUCUUGCCAGUCUGAUGUGAAAUCUCCUCGCUCAACGGGGAGCAGCCAUUGGAAACUACAAGACUGGAGUCUGGCAGAGGUAGGCGGAAUUCCGGGUGUAGCGGUGAAAUGCGCAGAUAUCAGGAAGAACACCCGUGGCGAAGGCGGCUCUCUGGUACGUGACUGACGCUGAGACGCGAAAGCGUGGGGAGCAAACAGG
This 253-nucleotide ribosomal RNA is filed under the name uncultured bacterium. RNAcentral's name for it is "partial 16S ribosomal RNA". It matches the Rfam family "Bacterial small subunit ribosomal RNA", at positions 524 to 776 of the family's 1533-position model. The record is from RNAcentral.